Molecule: ribosomal RNA, 254 nt
Filed under: uncultured bacterium
Lineage: Bacteria
Description: partial 16S ribosomal RNA
Rfam family: Bacterial small subunit ribosomal RNA
Source: RNAcentral
UACAGAGGUCCCGAGCGUUGUUCGGAAUUACUGGGCGUAAAGGGCGCGUAGGCGGCCUUCUAAGUCAGACGUGAAAUCCCCCGGCUUAACCUGGGAACUGCGUCUGAUACUGGGAGGCUUGAGUAUGGGAGAGGGAUGUAGAAUUCCAGGUGUAGCGGUGAAAUGCGUAGAUAUCUGGAGGAAUACCGGUGGCGAAGGCGGCAUCCUGGACCAUAACUGACGCUGAGGCGCGAAAGCUAGGGGAGCAAACGGGG